This is a long non-coding RNA of Suricata suricatta (meerkat), 375 nucleotides long. RefSeq lists it as uncharacterized. The record is from RefSeq and is a predicted model, not a curated record. NCBI's taxonomy places the organism in Eukaryota, Metazoa, Chordata, Mammalia, Carnivora, Herpestidae. The transcript is spliced from 2 exons.
AGCCUCACUUCCCUCUUAGGCGGAGAGAAGGAUGCGGGGAAGCUUGGUAAAAACAGAAUUAAAGGGAAUGGGUGUCGGAAGCGGAGGGUCUGAAGUUCACGACUCGUAGAAGGGGAGGGGAAUUGAAAGGCUCUCAGUGAAGAAGGUCCAGAACCCUCCAGAUCAACUUGUCAAUAAGUUCAAUGUGUAAGACAGACCAAUAUGAUUGAAAUGAGAACAAAUGAGAGUUAUUCCAGCUUGCCGGCAGUACUUACCUCCAUUCCCACCCUCCCCAAAGGGUGAACUUUGAAAACCAUUGGAAAAACUCACUCCCACAUAAAUGUCAUGAAAAGCCCCAUUGGUAAUAUGCUACAUUAAAAUGUUUACAUAUCUCAA